Molecule: small RNA, 79 nt
Filed under: Flavobacterium succinicans
Lineage: Bacteria; Pseudomonadati; Bacteroidota; Flavobacteriia; Flavobacteriales; Flavobacteriaceae
Description: Flavo-1 RNA
Source: RNAcentral
AAAGAACUUCGUUUGCAUUGAAAAUCCUUUUUGAGGCUUUUUCUGCCUCAAAAAGAUUGUAACGUGAGUCCGACCCUUG